Molecule: ribosomal RNA, 253 nt
Filed under: uncultured bacterium
Lineage: Bacteria
Description: partial 16S ribosomal RNA
Rfam family: Bacterial small subunit ribosomal RNA
Source: RNAcentral
UACGUAGGGACCGAGCGUUAUCCGGAUUCAUUGGGCGUAAAGAGCUCGUAGGCGGCUAUUCAAGUCGCACGUGAAAUCUCGGGGCUCAACUCCGAGCCUGCGUUCGAUACUGGGUAGCUAGAGUCUGGUAGGGGGAUCUGGAAUUCCUGGUGUAGCGGUGGAAUGCGCAGAUAUCAGGAGGAACACCGGUGGCGAAGGCGGGAUCCUGGGCCAGUACUGACGCUGAGGAGCGAAAGCGUGGGGAGCAAACGGG